GGAAUUCGAUUAGAGUUUGAUCCUGGCUCAGAUUGAACGCUGGCGGCAGGCCUAACACAUGCAAGUCGAGCGGAUGAGAAGAGCUUGCUCUUCGAUUCAGCGGCGGACGGGUGAGUAAUGCCUAGGAAUCUGCCUGGUAGUGGGGGACAACGUUUCGAAAGGAACGCUAAUACCGCAUACGUCCUACGGGAGAAAGCAGGGGACCUUCGGGCCUUGCGCUAUCAGAUGAGCCUAGGUCGGAUUAGCUAGUUGGUGAGGUAAUGGCUCACCAAGGCGACGAUCCGUAACUGGUCUGAGAGGAUGAUCAGUCACACUGGAACUGAGACACGGUCCAGACUCCUACGGGAGGCAGCAGUGGGGAAUAUUGGACAAUGGGCGAAAGCCUGAUCCAGCCAUGCCGCGUGUGUGAAGAAGGUCUUCGGAUUGUAAAGCACUUUAAGUUGGGAGGAAGGGCAUUAACCUAAUACGUUAGUGUUUUGACGUUACCGACAGAAUAAGCACCGGCUAACUCUGUGCCAGCAGCCGCGGUAAUACAGAGGGUGCAAGCGUUAAUCGGAAUUACUGGGCGUAAAGCGCGCGUAGGUGGUUUGUUAAGUUGGAUGUGAAAGCCCCGGGCUCAACCUGGGAACUGCAUCCAAAACUGGCAAGCUAGAGUACGGUAGAGGGUGGUGGAAUUUCCUGUGUAGCGGUGAAAUGCGUAGAUAUAGGAAGGGAACCCAGUGGCGAAAGCGACCACCUGGACUGAUACUGACACUGAGGUGCGAAAGCGUGGGGAGCAAACAGGAUUAAAUACCCUGUUAGUCACGCCCUAAACGAU
Molecule: ribosomal RNA, 817 nt
Filed under: uncultured Pseudomonas sp.
Lineage: Bacteria; Pseudomonadati; Pseudomonadota; Gammaproteobacteria; Pseudomonadales; Pseudomonadaceae
Description: bacterial SSU rRNA
Rfam family: Bacterial small subunit ribosomal RNA
Source: RNAcentral